RNAcentral lists this ribosomal RNA (465 nucleotides) under Vreelandella stevensii. Its description in RNAcentral is "partial 16S ribosomal RNA". It matches the Rfam family "Bacterial small subunit ribosomal RNA", at positions 338 to 795 of the family's 1533-position model. Lineage: Bacteria; Pseudomonadati; Pseudomonadota; Gammaproteobacteria; Oceanospirillales; Halomonadaceae. The record is from RNAcentral.
CCUACGGGGGGCAGCGGUGGGGAAUAUUGGACAAUGGGGGGAACCCUGAUCCAGCCAUGCCGCGUGUGUGAAGAAGGCCCUCGGGUUGUAAAGCACUUUCAGUGAGGAAGAACGCCUGGUGGUUAAUACCCAUCAGGAAAGACAUCACUCACAGAAGAAGCACCGGCUAACUCCGUGCCAGCAGCCGCGGUAAUACGGAGGGUGCGAGCGUUAAUCGGAAUUACUGGGCGUAAAGCGCGCGUAGGUGGCUUGAUAAGCCGGUUGUGAAAGCCCCGGGCUCAACCUGGGAACGGCAUCCGGAACUGUCAAGCUAGAGUGCAGGAGAGGAAGGUAGAAUUCCCGGUGUAGCGGUGAAAUGCGUAGAGAUCGGGAGGAAUACCAGUGGCGAAGGCGGCCUUCUGGACUGACACUGACACUGAGGUGCGAAAGCGUGGGUAGCAAACAGGAUUAGAUACCCGAGUAGUC